CUAGCUCUCUCUUUCCACCUCCCUCUGGAAGAAUAUAUAUUAGCCAGUAGAACAAAUGGCACGGGAUUAUCAGGUGAAGUCAAGAGCCACUGAUCAGCUGCAUAUUUCCCUAUCUCAGCAUCACCGUGAAUACUACAGGCACCAAGUAAUGCUUGCCAAAUAAAUAUGUCUGGCUUUACUGGUAGCUCCUCAAUGAAACUCUUGGCUUCACAUAGCAGUCCAGCUCGACCAAG
This 233-nucleotide unclassified non-coding RNA is filed under the name Hevea brasiliensis (rubber tree). Lineage: Eukaryota; Viridiplantae; Streptophyta; Magnoliopsida; Malpighiales; Euphorbiaceae. The record is from RNAcentral.